GGUCCAUUAGCUCAGUUGGUUAGAGCGUGGUGCUAAUAUGAUUGUGUUACGCCAAGGUCAACAGUUCGACCCUGUUAUGGACCA
Molecule: non-coding RNA, 84 nt
Organism: Paraphysoderma sedebokerense
Lineage: Eukaryota; Fungi; Blastocladiomycota; Physodermatomycetes; Physodermatales; Physodermataceae
Source: the annotation of a GenBank genome assembly